RNAcentral lists this unclassified non-coding RNA (306 nucleotides) under Pseudovibrio denitrificans. RNAcentral's name for it is "Long range pseudoknot". The record is from RNAcentral. Lineage: Bacteria; Pseudomonadati; Pseudomonadota; Alphaproteobacteria; Hyphomicrobiales; Stappiaceae.
AUCGACACUCAUGAUUAUGAAGUGAAGAUGAGAAACAUGAUGCGUUUCUUUGAGAGCGGAGACAAGGUUAAGGUAACCUUGCGCUUCCGUGGCCGUGAAAUGGCUCACCAAGAUCUCGGCAUGAAGCUUCUGCUUAAGGUGAAGGAAGAGACCCAAGAUAUCGCUAAGGUCGAAUCCCAUCCUAAGCUGGAAGGUCGCCAGAUGAUGAUGGUGCUAGCACCUAUUUCUCGUUAAUAGGCUCAGGUUGAAGCGCUCCAGCUUGGUUUCUGUGUAGCUACUCAACCGAAGCCCCAGAGAAUUUUGAGA